RNAcentral lists this unclassified non-coding RNA (354 nucleotides) under soil metagenome. Its description in RNAcentral is "partial contains 5.8S ribosomal RNA, internal transcribed spacer 2, and large subunit ribosomal RNA". The stretch from base 1 to 120 matches the Rfam family "5.8S ribosomal RNA", at positions 35 to 154 of the family's 154-position model. The record is from RNAcentral.
GAUGAAGAACGUAGCGAAACGCGAUAUGUAAUGUGAAUUGCAGAAUUCAGUGAAUCAUCGAAUCUUUGAACGCACAUGGCGCCUUCCAGUAUCCUGGGAGGCAUGCCUGUCCGAGCGUCGUUUCAACCCUCGAGCCCUCGUGGCCCGGCGUUGGGGAUCUGCCACGGCAGGCCCCGAAAUACAGUGGCGGACCCGUUAGGCCCUUCCUUUGCGUAGUAGCAUCAGCCUCGCAUCGGGAGCCGGCGGGCUCACCUGCCACUAAACCCCCCAACAAGCCCGCUCCGGCGGCACCAAGGUUGACCUCGGAUCAGGUAGGAAUACCCGCUGAACUUAAGCAUAUCAAUAAGCGGAGGA